GAUGAACGCUGGCGGCGUGCCUAAUACAUGCAAGUCGAGCGAACAGACGAGGAGCUUGCUCCUCUGACGUUAGCGGCGGACGGGUGAGUAACACGUGGAUAACCUACCUAUAAGACUGGGAUAACUUCGGGAAACCGGAGCUAAUACCGGAUAAUAUAUUUAACCGCAUGGUUCAAUAGUGAAAGACGGUUUUGCUGUCACUUAUAGAUGGAUCCGCGCCACAUUAGCUAGUUGGUAAGGUAACGGCUUACCAAGGCAACGAUGCGUAGCCGACCUGAGAGAGUGAUCGGCCACACUGGAACUGAGACACGGUCCAGACUCCUACGGGAGGCAGCAGUAGGGAAUCUUCCGCAAUGGGCGAAAGCCUGACGGAGCAACGCCGCGUGAGUGAUGAAGGUCUUCGGAUCGUAAAACUCUGUUAUUAGGGAAGAACAAAUGUGUAAGUAACUAUGCACGUCUUGACGGUACCUAAUCAGAAAGCCACGGCUAACUACGUG
Molecule: ribosomal RNA, 497 nt
Filed under: uncultured bacterium
Lineage: Bacteria
Description: partial 16S ribosomal RNA
Rfam family: Bacterial small subunit ribosomal RNA
Source: RNAcentral